GCUUGUUGUAUCACACAACUUAUUGCUUCCUACGUAUGGAGCACAGCUCUUUUCCUAGCACCUCUUGCCACUUGGUUGGGUACACACCUCAAGGACAUGGCCUGUACACUGAAGUUGCUGCUGCAGGAAUGAUCUGCUGUUUUCCUGACGUUUCCACUCAGAGAUGCCACUGUACUUGGAGGAAUUUUGAAAUAUUCACACACAAACUGCUUCUGAGGAAAAAGAAGUCAUCUGGCAGGAUGAAAAAAACUAAUGCACUCUCUGAUAUGACAUUGUGUCAAGGCAUACAAAGAGAAGUCUUGGGAAUGGAGAUUAAGAGGGAACUUCCAGAUGUCACCAGAACACUAGCGAUGCAAGGCUGCUGGUACCUCAUGAUGCCCACAAGUAUGCAGCUGUCUACACCAACCAGCAGUGUGGCUGAGGAGUGGACCAGGUCUGAACUGUGCCAUCAGUGGAUCACCAGAAGGUUACAGGUGCAUGUACAUGCAGUGCUUGGGGUUUUCUCUUAUUUUGAGAGAUGUUCUACACUAAACUGCAAUUGAAAUUCUGCCAGCUGUGGAAGAUGUGGACUGCAACAUGUCUGAGAAUCAUUGAAGAAGUUUUCCUUCUAUGUUGGUUUCUAAGCAAUGAGGAAGGUACAAUGCACUGCAUAACAGAUCUAAAGCUCUAUUCAGCUUCAUUGGGCUCAGAGUUUCCUUCAAGACUUUUAAAUGCUCUUCACAUUGAGAGGUUCACACAGCACUCUUUUGGAGACACAGCCCCUCUCACUGAUUGAAGUCUUGCUGUAUUCUUUCACUCAUAUUUUGACAUGAAUCAGUCUCUGUUAUCUCACUAUGAAGAAAUUUAAAAAGAGAAAACAGAUGCAUUUAACUGCAUUGUUUCCUGAUUUUGCCACUCUGUCAUUAUUCCAUUAUUGAUUUCUGGUGUGGUAACUGACUGAUUGGAUUGCCGAAGAAACAAAAUCUGCACAUAGAUUUCAGGGAAGCUUCUACUUCUUAACAUAAACUGUUCAACAGUGUUUAGUUUUACAGCUUUCUACUGCUGAGUGAUAAUCAAUCUUUAGUGACUGGUUACUGGUCUUUUGUAUAUGAG
Molecule: long non-coding RNA, 1092 nt
Organism: Gallus gallus (chicken)
Lineage: Eukaryota; Metazoa; Chordata; Aves; Galliformes; Phasianidae
Source: Ensembl